UUGUUGACAACUUUUCCAGCAAACCCUGAAAUCAGACCAUCGCCGUGAGGUAGCCAGUCUGCAACUCAGUGGUGUGCUGAUCCCCAGCCAGCUCCCCAGCUGAUCUCCAUCUCUACCUCUAUCUCGUAUUCUAUCUUUAUCUCUCCCCUCUAUUACUUCUCUCUAUCUCAUCUCUUACAUCUAUCUAUAUUGAAGGCUCCCUAUCUUUUCUGUCCAUCUACCCCUCUAUCUAUUUUGAGAAACUCUAUCUUGCUUUGUCUAUCCAUCUACCCCUCUAUCUAUUUUGAGAAACUCUAUCUUGCUUUGUCUAUCCAUCUACCCCUCUAUCUAUUUUGAAGGCUCUCUAUC
Molecule: non-coding RNA, 348 nt
Organism: Labrus bergylta (ballan wrasse)
Lineage: Eukaryota; Metazoa; Chordata; Actinopteri; Labriformes; Labridae
Source: RefSeq, a predicted model, not a curated record